RNAcentral lists this ribosomal RNA (939 nucleotides) under Triticum aestivum (bread wheat). RNAcentral describes it as "partial small subunit ribosomal RNA". The record is from RNAcentral. Lineage: Eukaryota; Viridiplantae; Streptophyta; Magnoliopsida; Poales; Poaceae.
AUGGCCGCCCCUACCUUUCUGCACUGCCUGCUCGCCAUCUGGCUCCUCUCCUGCGCCGCCCACGCGCAGCUCUCGACGACCUUCUACUCCGCCUCCUGCCCCAGCCUGGAGGCCAUCGUGCGGACGGGGAUGAACAAGGCCGUCCGCAACGAGCGGCGGAUCGGCGCGUCGCUUCUCAGGCUCUUCUUCCACGACUGCUUUGUCCAGGGCUGUGACGGCUCGGUUCUUCUCGACGCUGGCGGUGAGAAGCAAGCCGCGCCGAACAAUGGGUCCAUCCGUGGCUUCGGUGUCGUCGACGCCAUCAAGGCCGGCGUGGAGGCCGCGUGCCCCGGCGUCGUCUCCUGCGCCGACAUCCUCGCGCUCACCGCGCGCGACGGGACGUUCCUGCUGGGCGGGCCGACCUGGAGAGUGCCGCUCGGCCGUCGCGACUCGACGACGGCGAGCCGGGCUCUGGCCAACGCGAACCUCCCGCCGCCGACCGCCGACCUGUCCACGCUGAUCUCCCUGUUCCGCAGGCAGGGGCUCUCGCCGGCCGAGAUGACGGCGCUGUCGGGCGCGCACACCAUCGGCCUGGCCCAGUGCCUAAACUUCAACGGCCGAAUCUACAACGACGCCAACAUCGACCCGUCCUUCGCGGCGCUGCGGCGGCAGACGUGCCCGAGCUCCGGCAACAGGAACCUGGCGCCCAUCGACGUGCAGACCCCCGGGGCGUUCGACGCCGCCUACUACCGGAACCUGCUGGCGAAGCGCGGCCUGUUCCACUCCGACCAGGCGCUCUUCAACGGAGGGUCGGAGGACGCGCUGGUGCGGCAGUACAGCGCCAGCCCCGCGCUCUUCCGGAGCGACUUCGCCAAGGCGAUGAUCAAGAUGGGCAACAUACAUCCGCUCACCGGCAGCGCCGGCGAGAUCAGGGCCAACUGCCAUGUCGUCAACAGCUAG